RNAcentral lists this small nuclear RNA (341 nucleotides) under Sorex araneus (European shrew). RNAcentral describes it as "7SK RNA (ENSSARG00000016287.1)". It matches the Rfam family "7SK RNA". From Rfam's summary of the family: 7SK was discovered as an abundant small nuclear RNA in the mid-70s but a possible function has only recently been suggested. The record is from RNAcentral. Lineage: Eukaryota; Metazoa; Chordata; Mammalia; Eulipotyphla; Soricidae.
GGAUGUGAGGGUGAUCUGGCUGCGACAUCUGUCACCCCAUUGAUCGCCAGGGUUGAUUCUGCUGAUCUGGCUGGCUAGGCGGGUGUCCCCUUCCUCCCUCACCCUCCAUGUGCGUCCCUCCUGAAGCUGUGCGCUCGGUCAAAGAGGACGACCUUCCCUGAGACAGGCCGGUCUUCGGUCGAGGGUGUACGAGUAGCUGCGCUCCCCUGCUAGAACCUCCAAACAAACUCUCAAACAUGCAAAUAUAUUCCAUGGUAAUUCAAUGUUUUGUUGUUGUUUUUUUUGGCUCACACCCGGCAAUGCACAGGGGAUACUCCUGGCUUUGCACUCAGGAAUUAUUC